This 448-nucleotide ribosomal RNA is filed under the name uncultured bacterium. RNAcentral's name for it is "bacterial SSU rRNA". It matches the Rfam family "Bacterial small subunit ribosomal RNA", at positions 29 to 489 of the family's 1533-position model. The record is from RNAcentral.
AUUGAACGCUGGCGGCAUGCCUAACACAUGCAAGUCGAACGGCAGCACGAUGUGUAGCAAUACACAUGGGUGGCGAGUGGCGGACGGGUGAGUAGAAAGUAGGGAUCUGCCUUAUAGAUUGGGAUAACUUGGGGAAACUCGAGCUAAUACCGGAUAAGCACUACGGUGGAAAGCAUGGGACCGAAAGGCCAUGCGCUAUAAGAUGAACCUACGCGGAUUAGCUAGUUGGUUAGGUAAAGGACUGACCAAGGCGAAGAUCCGUAGCUGGUCUGAGAGGAUGAUCAGCCACACUGGGACUGAGACACGGCCCAGACUCCUACGGGAGGCAGCAGUGGGAAUAUUGGACAAUGGGCGCAAGCCUGAUCCAGCAAUGCCGCGUGAGUGAGGAAGGCCUUAGGGUUGUAAAGCUCUUUCACCCGCGACGAUGAUGACGGUAGCGGGAGAAGAA